This 1836-nucleotide small RNA is filed under the name Pongo abelii (Sumatran orangutan). RNAcentral's name for it is "processed transcript". Lineage: Eukaryota; Metazoa; Chordata; Mammalia; Primates; Hominidae. The record is from RNAcentral.
GGGAUUAAAGACUGGGAAGCAUGGCUGUAGGGAUACAGAGAAUCUGCUGGUGUUUAGGGUCCGUGAAGGGCAGAGUAGUGGGAAAUAAGGCUGGAAAGCAGGCUAGGAAGUUUGGACUUAUUGGGCAGGCAGUGGAGAGCCAUGAAAAGAUCUUGAGCAUGGGAGUGAUAUGAUAGGAAAAGGCAGAUGAGUCCCUGCCGGUGGGAUCCAAUGUCUGAGAAUGUCACCUUCUCUUGCAGGUGCUGCUCCCGGCAGCCAGCUUGCUGCAGCUCAUGGAUGUUCGGCAGAACUGCUGUGACUUCCUGCAGUCUCAGUUGCAUCCCACCAAUUGCCUGGGCAUCCGUGCGUUUGCAGAUGUGCACACCUGCACUGACCUUCUGCAGCAGGCCAAUGCCUACGCAGAGCAGCACUUUCCAGAGGUGAUGCUAGGAGAAGAAUUUCUUAGCCUGAGUCUGGACCAGGUGUGCAGCUUGAUAUCCAGCGACAAGCUGACCGUUUCUUCAGAAGAGAAGGUGUUUGAAGCUGUGAUCUCAUGGAUCAAUUAUGAGAAAGGAACCCGUUUAGAGCACAUGGCAAAGCUGAUGGAACAUGUCCGACUUCCUCUCUUACCUAGGGACUACCUAGUCCAAGUGAGUCUUGGUUGUAUGAAGAGCCAAGCACUUCUGUGUUCACCCAGGCCUCUAGGAAUAGCAAUGGGCAAUCCUGGUUGGAUGGAGUAGUUGAGGGGUUUAGUUGGUCUUCUGUAUGUGCUGAGGGAACCAGCCCACUGGGUUAAGUGUUAGGUGUUGUAAAGUUUAAGAGCAUAGGCUUGAAAAUAGGACACUUAGGUUUCAGUCUCUGCUCUGCUGCUUAUUAGUUUUGGAUUUUUAUUUAACCUCUUCAAGCCUCAGUUUUUCUUCCAUAGAACAGAUAUUAUAGUAGAGCCCAGCAGGGUUGUUGUGAGGACUAAAGGAGUAGAGUAUGCAAGUCAGCUGUUUCGUGUGGAGCCUGGGGUAACAAAUGUUCCAUGAAAGUUAGCUGUCUUUGUUGAAGAGGACUGAAGCAAGAAGGGUCAUGUCCACAAUGUUUCUGUGUUCCCUUUUUGUCUUAGUUUUAGGCAACUUGAAGCCAAAUUCAAGACUGUAAAAACAGUACCUAGAAUACAGAGUACUUCCACUUCCUCUGAAAAGGAAAGAAAAAUUAAGAAUUAUGGGGUUCCCUUAUGGUGCCAUAUGUUUUCUCAUUUAAUUCUUAUAAUAACCCUAAGGGGCAAAGAUUGUAACUCCUUUUUUACACAUGUAAGCCUUGAGGCUUAUGGAGGUUGGGAUUUAUUGGGGGUCACCAGCCUUAGGGAGGCUCAGGAUUCAAAUCCAUGUCAGUCUGGCUCUGAAGUGCAUAGUUCUUCCGCUAAGCUAGCUGCCACCAUUGGUACGCUCUUUUCUGCAUACCCAUUGCAUGACUUAUUUUAUAUAGUAAAUGGCAUUAGACACUUUUAUAAGCAGAGAAUAAACCUUAAAAUAUAUAAACAAAACAAAACAUUGAGACAGCAGGUUAGCCCUCAGCUGUCUCCAAGGAGUCUCUGGAAGGAAGGGAAGGUAUGCUGCAAGGAUAAAGAGGAGGUUUAGCAGCCUAGCAGCCCAGCAGCCCAGCUCUUGUUACUUUCCAGCCAUAAUACUGGGUACAUACUUAACCUUUUUAAACCUCAGUUUUCUUAUCUGGAAAAAAUGGCACUUGCCUUUAUAGGAUUGUUUGGGGAUAAACAAUAAAAUAAGAUAAUCCAUGUAGGCCUAUAAUACAGUGUUCAGUGAAUGUUACUGAUCUUACUCGGUAGUCUUUGUGACCACUGCUGUGAUUCUU